CUACGGGAGGCAGCAGUGAGGAAUAUUGCACAAUGGGGGGAACCCUGAUGCAGCAACGCCGCGUGGAGGAUGACGCAUUUCGGUGUGUAAACUCCUUUUAUAUGUCAAGAAAAUGACGGUAGCAUAUGAAUAAGCACCGGCUAACUCCGUGCCAGCAGCCGCGGUAAUACGGAGGGUGCAAGCGUUACUCGGAAUCACUGGGCGUAAAGGACGCGUAGGCGGGUUGGAAAGUCAGGUGUGAAAUCCUACAGCUUAACUGUAGAACUGCACUUUGAAACUUCUAAUCUAGAGUAUGGGAGGGGGAGAUGGAAUUAGUGGUGUAGGGGUAAAAUCCGUAGAUAUCACUAGGAAUACCUAAAGCGAAGGCGAUCUCCUGGAACAUUACUGACGCUAAGGCGUGAAAGCGUGGGGAGCAAACAGGAUUAGAUACCCGCGUAGUC
RNAcentral lists this ribosomal RNA (440 nucleotides) under uncultured bacterium. RNAcentral's name for it is "partial 16S ribosomal RNA". It matches the Rfam family "Bacterial small subunit ribosomal RNA", at positions 339 to 795 of the family's 1533-position model. The record is from RNAcentral.